GCCAGCGUGCGCCUUCCCCGUUGCUGGGCCCCUCCCCCUUGUUUUUGAAAGUGUGUUGGACGUGACUGGAGAGCAAGAGUUUGUUCGAGUAUCCGAAGGACGUGGUUGUCAGUUCAGGCUUUCAGAUCAGAUGGCAGUCUUCAACCAAUUCAGUUCUCUCCAUUUGAUGUCAAAGAAUAGCUGGAGAAAAUGGAUACUGUAAAGACUGAGGCCUGACAACAUACUGACAAUAGCAUGGAAGAUUCAUACCAUUCUGGUAAGAUGGUGGUGGAGUAGGGCUUCUGAGGCCUGGGCUUGUCUGCUUUUGGUGAAGAGAUCAAUCGUGGUGACGGCAUCAGUGGCGCUCCAGGACAUCUCUGCAGAGGUUCCUCGGCAGUGUCCUCGUUCAAUCAUCUUCAGCUGAUUCAUCAAUGACCUUCCCUCCAUCAUGAGGUCGGAAGUGGGGAUGCUCGCUACUGAUUGCGCAAUGUUCAGCACCAUUUGGUACUCCGAUACUGAAGCAGUCUGAGGCCCAAAUGCAGCAAGACUUGGACAGUAUCCAGAUUGGUGUUGACAAGUGGCAAAUGAUGUUUGCUCCAAACAAGUGCCAGGCAAUGACUGUGUCUCUAACAAGAGAAAAUCUAACUGUUGCCCCUUGACAUUCAAUGGCAUUACUAUCAGUGAAUCCUCCACUGUCAAUAUCAUGACCAAAAACUUAUCUUGACUAGUCAUGUCAAAACUAAGAGAACAGGUGAGGAUAGAAACCCUGCAGUGGGUAACUCAUCUGAAUCUCCUGAGUCAGUCCACAAUAUUCAAGACAGAAGUUGGGGUUUUGGUUGAAUACUCCCUACUUGCUUGAAUGUUGUUGGAACUGCACUCGGUCAAAAAGCUCGACAAAGCAGCCUGCUUGAUAUGUAAUAUAUCCACAAAUCUUCACUUCCUCCACCACUGACACAGCUGCAAUAUGUAUCAUCUACAAGACCCUUUCAUUCAAUAUCUCAAAUAAAAUAACGCAGCUAGCAAGGUCAUUAUCCCUAACCCUAACAAUGACUAAUCCUAUCAAAUUCUGCAAGGAUGUUAUUGCCUAAAUCUUAAAAUAUUUGAAGGAUAAAAUAGCAGGUAUUUUGCAUUGUCCCAUUUGCAUUACCUGAGAAGGCAUAUCUUUACAACUUUGCAAAUAAAAAAUUGUCUUCUAUGUUGUUCAAUAAUGAAUCAUUUAAGGAAAUAAAUUGCAUGUUGAGUCCCAAA
Long non-coding RNA from Rhincodon typus (whale shark), 1227 nucleotides. RefSeq lists it as uncharacterized. The transcript is spliced from 3 exons. Lineage: Eukaryota; Metazoa; Chordata; Chondrichthyes; Orectolobiformes; Rhincodontidae. The record is from RefSeq and is a predicted model, not a curated record.